Molecule: ribosomal RNA, 507 nt
Filed under: uncultured bacterium
Lineage: Bacteria
Description: bacterial SSU rRNA
Rfam family: Bacterial small subunit ribosomal RNA
Source: RNAcentral
AAUGAACGCUGGCGGCGUGCCUAACACAUGCAAGUCGUACGAGAAAUCCCGAGCUUGCUUGGGAGAGUAAAGUGGCGCACGGGUGAGUAACGCGUGGGUAACCCACCCUCGAAUCUGGGAUAACUCCGCGAAAGCGGUGCUAAUACCGGAUAAGACCACAUUCCGUUUGCGGAAAGAGGUAAAAGCUGACCUCUCCAUGGAAGUUAGCGUUCGAGGACGGGCCCGCGUCCUAUCAGCUUGUUGGUGGGGUAAUGGCCUACCAAGGCAGCGACGGGUAGCUGGUCUGAGAGGAUGAUCAGCCACACUGGAACUGGAACACGGUCCAGACUCCUACGGGAGGCAGCAGUGAGGAAUUUUGCGCAAUGGGGGAAACCCUGACGCAGCAACGCCGCGUGGGUGAAGAAGGCUUUCGGGUCGUAAAGCCCUGUCAGGUGGGAAGAAACUCUUCAGUACUAAUAAUGCUGAAGCCUGACGGUACCACCAGAGGAAGCACCGGCCAACUCCGUG